Molecule: ribosomal RNA, 1951 nt
Filed under: Nitrospira sp.
Lineage: Bacteria; Pseudomonadati; Nitrospirota; Nitrospiria; Nitrospirales; Nitrospiraceae
Description: partial 23S ribosomal RNA
Rfam family: Bacterial large subunit ribosomal RNA
Source: RNAcentral
UGGGAGACAGAGCACCGGGUGCUAACGUCCGGACUCAAGAGGGAAACAACCCAGACCGCCAGCUAAGGUCCCUAAUAUUGGCUAAGUGGGAAACGAAGUGGGAAGGCUAAAACAGUCAGGAUGUUGGCUUAGAAGCAGCCAUCAUUUAAAGAAAGCGUAAUAGCUCACUGAUCGAGUCGUCCUGCGCGGAAGAUGUAACGGGGCUAAGCCAGUAACCGAAGCUGCGGAUCGUGGCAACACGAUGGUAGGAGAGCGUUCCGUACGCCUGUGAAGGUGGGUCGUGAGGCCUGCUGGAGGUAUCGGAAGUGCGAAUGCUGACAUGAGUAGCGUUAAAGGGGGUGAAAAGCCCCCUCGCCGAAAGCGCAAGGUUUUCUACGCAACGUUCAUCGGCGUAGAGUGAGUCGGCCCCUAAGGCGAGGCAGAGAUGCGUAGCUGAUGGGAAGCAGGUCAAUAUUCCUGCACCGACGUGCAGUGCGAUGUGGGGACGGAUCUUUGCAGGUGAUCCGGGUGUUGGAUGUCCCGGUUUAGGCGAUGUAGGCGAUGGGUAGGCAAGUCCGCCCGUCACAUACCGAGGUCGUCGACCCAGCGAGCUUGCUCGUGAAGUCACUCAAUGAGGUUCCAAGAAAAGCCACUAAGCUCUAGCUGCACGCGACCGUACCGCAAACCGACACUGGUGCGCGUGAUGAGUAUUCUCAGGCGCUUGAGAGAACUCUGGAGAAGGAACUCGGCAAAUUGACACCGUAACUUCGGAAGAAGGUGUGCCUUAGUAGUGUGAAGUGAACAACGGAGCAUGAACGGGUCGCAGAGAAUCGGUGGCUGCGACUGUUUAUUAAAAACACAGCACUCUGCAAAGACGAAAGUCGACGUAUAGGGUGUGACGCCUGCCCGGUGCUGGAAGAUUAAAUGAUGGGGUGCAAGCUCUUGAUUGAAGUCCCAGUAAACGGCGGCCGUAACUAUAACGGUCCUAAGGUAGCGAAAUUCCUUGUCGGGUAAGUUCCGACCUGCACGAAUGGCGUAACGAUGGCCACACUGUCUCCUCCAGAGACUCAGCGAAGUUGAAAUGUUUGUGAUGAUGCAAUCUCCCGCGGAAAGACGGAAAGACCCCAUGAACCUUUACUGUAGCUUUACAUUGGAUUUUGAAUAGACCUGUGUAGGAUAGGUGGGAGGCUUUGAAGUCCGGUCGCUAGAUCGGAUGGAGCCAACGUUGAAAUACCACCCUGGUGUGUUUGAGGUUCUAACCUAGGCCCGUGAUCCGGGUCGGGGACCGUGUAUGGUAGGCAGUUUGACUGGGGCGGUCUCCUCCUAAAGCGUAACGGAGGAGUUCGAAGGUACGCUAGGCACGGUCGGAAAUCGUGCUGAUAGUGCAUUGGCAUAAGCGUGCUUGACUGCGAGACUGACAAGUCGAGCAGGUACGAAAGUAGGACAAAGUGAUCCGGUGGUUCUGUAUGGAAGGGCCAUCGCUCAACGGAUAAAAGGUACUCUGGGGAUAACAGGCUGAUACCGCCCAAGAGUUCAUAUCGACGGCGGUGUUUGGCACCUCGAUGUCGGCUCAUCUCAUCCUGGGGCUGUAGCCGGUCCCAAGGGUAUGGCUGUUCGCCAUUUAAAGAGGUACGUGAGCUGGGUUUAAAACGUCGUGAGACAGUUUGGUCCCUAUCUUCCGUGGGCGCUGCAAGAUUGAGAGAGCCUGCUCCUAGUACGAGAGGACCGGAGUGGACGCACCUCUGGUGUAUCGGUUGUCACGCCAGUGGCAUUGCCGAGUAGCUAAGUGCGGAAGAGAUAACCGCUGAAAGCAUCUAAGCGGGAAACUCGUCUCAAGAUGAGUCUUGCCGGGGCCUUGAGCCCCCUGAAGAGUCGUUCGAGACCAGGACGUUGAUAGGCCGGGUGUGGAAGCGCAGUAAUGCGUUAAGCUUACCGGUACUAAUUGCUCGUGCGGCUUGACCCUAUAACUUUG